This 1063-nucleotide ribosomal RNA is filed under the name Bdellovibrio sp. NASA. RNAcentral describes it as "bacterial SSU rRNA". It matches the Rfam family "Bacterial small subunit ribosomal RNA", at positions 136 to 1215 of the family's 1533-position model. The record is from RNAcentral. Lineage: Bacteria; Pseudomonadati; Bdellovibrionota; Bdellovibrionia; Bdellovibrionales; Pseudobdellovibrionaceae.
GUCGGGGAUAACCAGUCGAGAGACUGGCUAAUACCGGAUAAGACCACAAGAUCUGCGGAUCAAGGGGUUAAAGGUUUUUCGCUUGAAGAUGAGUCUAUGCGAGAUUAGCUAGUUGGUGAGGUAAUGGCUCACCAAGGCGACGAUCUCUAACUGGUCUUAGAGGAUGAUCAGUCACACUGGAACUGAGACACGGUCCAGACUCCUACGGGAGGCAGCAGUAGGGAAUAUUGCGCAAUGGGGGAAACCCUGACGCAGCGACGCCGCGUGAGUGAUGAAGGCCUUCGGGUCGUAAAGCUCUGUCGUAUGGGAAUAACACAAUGAAUGUACCAUGCAAGAAAGGAUCGGCUAACUUCGUGCCAGCAGCCGCGGUAAGACGAGGGAUCCUAGCGUUGUUCGGAAUCAUUGGGCGUAAAGCGGGUGUAGGUGGGCUUCUAAGUCAGAUGUGAAAUCCCAGGGCUCAACCCUGGAAGUGCAUUUGAUACUGGAAGUCUUGAGUGUGGUAGAGGUUACUGGAAUUGUUGGUGUAGUGGUGAAAUACGUAGAUAUCAACAGGAAUACCGGAGGCGAAGGCGAGUAACUGGGCCAACACUGACACUGAGACCCGAAAGCGUGGGGAUCAAACAGGAUUAGAUACCCUGGUAGUCCACGCCAUAAACGAUGGAUACUUGUUGUUAGAGGUAUUGACCCCUCUAGUGACGUAGCUAACGCGUUAAGUAUCCCGCCUGGGGAGUACGGUCGCAAGAUUAAAACUCAAAGAAAUUGACGGGGGCCCGCACAAGCGGUGGAGCAUGUGGUUUAAUUCGAUGCAACGCGAAGAACCUUACCUAGGCUUGACAUAAACUGGAAGAGUGGCAGAAAUGUCCUCGCUCGCAAGAGUCGGUAUACAGGUGCUGCAUGGCUGUCGUCAGCUCGUGUCGUGAGAUGUUGGGUUAAGUCCCGCAACGAGCGCAACCCUUACCUUUAGUUGUCAGCAUUUAGUUGGACACUCUAGAGGGACUGCCUGCGUUAAGCAGGAGGAAGGUGGGGAUCCCGUCAAGUCCUCAUGGCCCUUAUGCCUAGGGCU